This 497-nucleotide ribosomal RNA is filed under the name uncultured bacterium. RNAcentral's name for it is "partial 16S ribosomal RNA". It matches the Rfam family "Bacterial small subunit ribosomal RNA", at positions 28 to 507 of the family's 1533-position model. The record is from RNAcentral.
GAUGAACGCUGGCGGCGUGCCUAAUACAUGCAAGUCGAGCGAACGGACGAGAAGCUUGCUUCUCUGAUGUUAGCGGCGGACGGGUGAGUAACACGUGGAUAACCUACCUAUAAGACUGGGAUAACUUCGGGAAACCGGAGCUAAUACCGGAUAAUAUUUUGAACCGCAUGGUUCAAAAGUGAAAGACGGUCUUGCUGUCACUUAUAGAUGGAUCCGCGCUGCAUUAGCUAGUUGGUAAGGUAACGGCUUACCAAGGCAACGAUGCAUAGCCGACCUGAGAGGGUGAUCGGCCACACUGGAACUGAGACACGGUCCAGACUCCUACGGGAGGCAGCAGUAGGGAAUCUUCCGCAAUGGGCGAAAGCCUAACGGAGCAACGCCGCGUGAGUGAUGAAGGUCUUCGGAUCGUAAAACUCUGUUAUUAGGGAAGAGCAUAUGUGUAAGUAACUGUGCACAUCUUGACGGUACCUAAUCAGAAAGCCACGGCUAACUACGUG